RNAcentral lists this ribosomal RNA (432 nucleotides) under uncultured bacterium. RNAcentral's name for it is "partial 16S ribosomal RNA". It matches the Rfam family "Bacterial small subunit ribosomal RNA", at positions 29 to 506 of the family's 1533-position model. The record is from RNAcentral.
AACGAACGCUGGCGGCAUGCCUAACACAUGCAAGUCGAACGAAGGCUUCGGCCUUAGUGGCGCACGGGUGCGUAACGCGUGGGAAUCUGCCCUUUGCUUCGGAAUAACAGUUAGAAAUGACUGCUAAUACCGGAUGAUGUCGCAAGACCAAAGAUUUAUCGGCAAAGGAUGAGCCCGCGUAGGAUUAGCUAGUUGGUGGGGUAAAGGCCUACCAAGGCGACGAUCCUUAGCUGGUCUGAGAGGAUGAUCAGCCACACUGGGACUGAGACACGGCCCAGACUCCUACGGGAGGCAGCAGUGGGGAAUAUUGGACAAUGGGCGAAAGCCUGAUCCAGCAAUGCCGCGUGAGUGAUGAAGGCCUUAGGGUUGUAAAGCUCUUUUACCCGGGAUGAUAAUGACAGUACCGGGAGAAUAAGCUCCGGCUAACUCCGU